RNAcentral lists this ribosomal RNA (253 nucleotides) under uncultured bacterium. RNAcentral's name for it is "partial 16S ribosomal RNA". It matches the Rfam family "Bacterial small subunit ribosomal RNA", at positions 524 to 776 of the family's 1533-position model. The record is from RNAcentral.
GACGAACCGUGCGAACGUUGUUCGGAUUCACUGGGCUUAAAAGGCGCGUAGGCGGUCGACCAAGUCUGGGGUGAAAUCUUUCGGCUUAACCGGAAAAGUGCCCCCGAUACUGGCCGGCUAGAGGGAGAUAGGGGCAUGUGGAACUUCCGGUGGAGCGGUGAAAUGCGUAGAUAUCGGAAGGAACGCCGGUGGCGAAAGCGACGUGCUGGAUCUCUUCUGACGCUGAGGCGCGAAAGCCAGGGGAGCAAACGGG